RNAcentral lists this small RNA (773 nucleotides) under Malus domestica (apple). RNAcentral describes it as "sRNA MD04G0080700". The record is from RNAcentral. Lineage: Eukaryota; Viridiplantae; Streptophyta; Magnoliopsida; Rosales; Rosaceae.
GAUAAUAAAAGGACCAAAAAGGCCCUGUAAGCAAAUAUCUAUCAGAAUCCCUCCGUUAUUCGCUGUAAGUCUCCCAAAUUUCUCUCUGCACGAUCGAUCAGGGUUUUUGAUUUGGGCAAUCGAUUGAAAUUCGAAGAGUAGAAGAUGAUCGAGGUGGUUCUAAACGACCGUCUGGGGAAGAAGGUGAAGGUGAAGUGCAACGAGGAUGACACCAUCGGCGACCUGAAGAAGCUGGUGGCGGCUCAGACGGGCACCCGCUCCGACAAGAUUCGGAUUCAGAAGUGGUACAACGUCUACAAGGACCACAUCACUCUCAAGGACUACGAGAUUCAUGACGGCAUGGGCCUCGAGCUCUACUACAACUGAAGGUGUUGUGGUCUUAUUACAAUGCACUGGCGCUGGGAUUGGCGUUUAGUCUCUAUAAGAAGUGGCUGUAUGUAUUUCAAAGUGUAGAAUGGUGCAGAUUCUUGUGUUUCCUAAAACUAUUUGGCUACAUACAUACAAGUAUUAACCGCAUACACAUUUGUGUAACGGUGUUGCCAUGCAUUCAGUCUAGUAUUCAGUAAUGAUAGUCUGCGAUUGUCAUACGGUGAACCAGUGUGUGUGUGUGUGUGUAUUUAUGGGUGAACUGUCAAUUUAGCCUCUGAAUUAUCAUCUGAGUGAAAAUUAGGUCCCUAAACUAUUUUUUCAAAAAAAUCAGCCCAUGAAAUUAUAAAAAUCUGUCAAUUACAUUCCUAAUAUUAUAUUUGAAGCUAUUAUAUUUAAUUUUUGGU